This 804-nucleotide ribosomal RNA is filed under the name uncultured Pelagibacteraceae bacterium. RNAcentral describes it as "bacterial SSU rRNA". It matches the Rfam family "Bacterial small subunit ribosomal RNA", at positions 35 to 887 of the family's 1533-position model. Lineage: Bacteria; Pseudomonadati; Pseudomonadota; Alphaproteobacteria; Candidatus Pelagibacterales; Candidatus Pelagibacteraceae. The record is from RNAcentral.
GCUGGCGGCACGCCUAAUACAUGCAAGUCGAACGAAGUAGCAAUACUUAGUGGCAGACGGGUGAGUAACAUGUAGGUAUCUUCCCAUUGGUGAGGAAUAACACGAGGAAACUUGUGCUAAUACCUCAUAAGUCUUUACGGAGAAAGCUUUAUGCGCCGAUGGAUGAGCCUGCACUUGAUUAGUUUGUUGGUAGGGUAAUGGCCUACCAAGACAAUGAUCAAUAGCUGAUUUGAGAGGAUGAUCAGCCACAUUGGGACUGAGACACGGCCCAAACUCCUACGGGAGGCAGCAGUAGGGAAUCUUGCACAAUGGGGGAAACCCUGAUGCAGCGAUGCCGCGUGAGUGAAGAAGGCCUUUGGGUUGUAAAGCUCUUUCGUCGGGGAAGAAAAUGACUGUACCCGAAUAAGAAGGUCCGGCUAACUUCGUGCCAGCAGCCGCGGUAAUACGAAGGGACCUAGCGUAGUUCGGAAUUACUGGGCUUAAAGAGUUCGUAGGUGGUUAAAAAAGUUGGUGGUGAAAUCCCAGAGCUUAACUCUGGAACUGCCAUCAAAACUUUUUAGCUAGAGUAUGAUAGAGGAAAGCAGAAUUUCUAGUGUAGAGGUGAAAUUCGUAGAUAUUAGAAAGAAUACCGAUUGCGAAGGCAGCUUUCUGGAUCAUUACUGACACUGAGGAACGAAAGCAUGGGUAGCGAAGAGGAUUAGAUACCCUCGUAGUCCAUGCCGUAAACGAUGUGUGUUAGACGUUGGAAAUUUAUUUUCUGUGUCGCAGCGAAAGCAAUAAACACACCGCCUGGGGAGUACGACC